RNAcentral lists this ribosomal RNA (209 nucleotides) under uncultured bacterium. Its description in RNAcentral is "partial 16S ribosomal RNA". It matches the Rfam family "Bacterial small subunit ribosomal RNA", at positions 524 to 729 of the family's 1533-position model. The record is from RNAcentral.
UACGUAGGAGGCAAGCGUUUGUCCGGAAUUACUGGGCGUAAAGCGUGCGCAGGCGGUUCGUUGUGUCGGUGGUGAAAGCCCCGGGCUUAACCUGGGAAUGGCCAUGGAAACUGGCGAACUGGAGUGUGGCAGAGGGGGGUGGAAUUCCGCGGUGUAGCAGUGAAAUGCGUAGAGAUGCGGAGGAACAUCGAUGGCGAAGGACAGCCCCC